Tribolium castaneum (red flour beetle) is the source of this 588-nucleotide long non-coding RNA. RefSeq lists it as uncharacterized. Lineage: Eukaryota; Metazoa; Arthropoda; Insecta; Coleoptera; Tenebrionidae. The transcript is spliced from 3 exons. The record is from RefSeq and is a predicted model, not a curated record.
UAUACAGAUCUCAGAAAACAGUAUUUUAAAUUUUAAGUUGUUGGCAACACUGGCUGUCAACAAAAAGAUAACCUCUCAUAAUAUUCCAGGCUUCCAGGGUGCUUCCAGCGCUUGAUCAACAUGGCAAAAGAUAAGAUAAAUAAAUUAAUAAAAGAAAUAAUCGAAAUGCAAGAACACCGGCAAGAUAGCAAAACUAACAUGCAUCUUAAGAACGUUAGAGUGGUCUUCAGCGGCCAAGAAUAUUACGCAAACGUAGAAAUAACUAAGGAGGCAAUAAUCAUCAAGCCACAUGAUGAAGAAAUACCAGUAACUUACUUUUUGCCAGUGCACUUGCGUGGAUAUAGUGAAGUGGACAAUAGGGGUUUAAUAAUAAACCAACGUUUCAAUAGGCCCUCAUACAGAUUAUAUUUUCGGACACCACCACAAUGUGCAAGAGCUCUUAAAAGAAUAAGGGUUGUCACUGGGGAAGAAUCAACCUCAGAAUCUUCAGAAAACUAAACUAAAAAUUGUUAAUUAUGCUACAGCAUAAUUUUGUAUUAUUUUUCCAAGUGUUAUGUUUUGGAUAACUAAUAAAAAUUAUUAAUGAAC